UGGGGAAUUUUGGACAAUGGGCGAAAGCCUGAUCCAGCAAUGCCGCGUGUGUGAAGAAGGCCUUCGGGUCGUAAAGCACUUUUGUCCGGAAAGAAAUCCUUGGCUCUAAUACAGUCGGGGGAUGACGGUACCGGAAGAAUAAGCACCGGCUAACUACGUGCCAGCAGCCGCGGUAAUACGUAGGGUGCAAGCGUUAAUCGGAAUUACUGGGCGUAAAGCGUGCGCAGGCGGUUUGCUAAGACCGAUGUGAAAUCCCCGGGCUCAACCUGGGAACUGCAUUGGUGACUGGCAGGCUAGAGUAUGGCAGAGGGGGGUAGAAUUCCACGUGUAGCAGUGAAAUGCGUAGAGAUGUGGAGGAAUACCGAUGGCGAAGGCAGCCCCCUGGGCCAAUACUGACGCUCAUGCACGAAAGCGUGGGGAGCAAACAGGAUUAGAUACCCUGGUAGUCCACGCCCUAAACGAUGUCAACUAGUUGUUGGGGAUUCAUUUCCUUAGUAACGUAGCUAACGCGUGAAGUUGACCGCCUGGGGAGUACGGUCGCAAGAUUAAAACUCAAAUGAAUUGACGGGGUCAUAGCUGUUUCCU
RNAcentral lists this ribosomal RNA (585 nucleotides) under uncultured bacterium. RNAcentral describes it as "partial 16S ribosomal RNA". It matches the Rfam family "Bacterial small subunit ribosomal RNA", at positions 355 to 1375 of the family's 1533-position model. The record is from RNAcentral.